AACGAACGCUGGCGGCAUGCCUAACACAUGCAAGUCGAACGAGACCUUCGGGUCUAGUGGCGCACGGGUGCGUAACGCGUGGGAAUCUGCCCUUGGGUUCGGAAUAACAGUUAGAAAUGACUGCUAAUACCGGAUAAUGUCUUCGGACCAAAGAUUUAUCGCCCAGGGAUGAGCCCGCGUAGGAUUAGCUAGUUGGUGAGGUAAAGGCUCACCAAGGCGACGAUCCUUAGCUGGUCUGAGAGGAUGAUCAGCCACACUGGGACUGAGACACGGCCCAGACUCCUACGGGAGGCAGCAGUGGGGAAUAUUGGACAAUGGGCGAAAAGCCUGAUCCAGCAAUGCCGCGUGAAGUGAUGAAGGCCUUAGGGUUGUAAAGCUCUUUUACCCGGGAUGAUAAUGACAGUACCGGGAGAAU
RNAcentral lists this ribosomal RNA (415 nucleotides) under uncultured bacterium. RNAcentral's name for it is "bacterial SSU rRNA". It matches the Rfam family "Bacterial small subunit ribosomal RNA", at positions 29 to 487 of the family's 1533-position model. The record is from RNAcentral.